RNAcentral lists this ribosomal RNA (440 nucleotides) under uncultured marine bacterium. Its description in RNAcentral is "bacterial SSU rRNA". It matches the Rfam family "Bacterial small subunit ribosomal RNA", at positions 360 to 804 of the family's 1533-position model. The record is from RNAcentral.
AAUUUUGCGCAAUGGGCGAAAGCCUGACGCAGCAACGCCGCGUGAAGGAUGAAGGCCUUGGGUCGUAAACUUCUGUCAGAGGGGAAGAAAUGCCCGCAAGGGAGCUGACGGUACCCUCAAAGGAAGCACCGGCUAACUCCGUGCCAGCAGCCGCGGUAAUACGGAGGGUGCAAGCGUUGUUCGGAAUUAUUGGGCGUAAAGAGCAUGUAGGCGGUUUGUUAAGUCUGGUGUGAAAGCCCGGGGCCCAACCCCGGAAGUGCAUUGGAUACUGGCCGACUUGAAUAUGGGAGAGGAAGGCGGAAUUCCGAGUGUAGGAGUGAAAUCCGUAGAUAUUCGGAGGAACACCAGUGGCGAAGGCGGCCUUCUGGACCAAUACUGACGCUGAGAUGCGAAGGCGUGGGGAGCGAACAGGGUUAGAUACCCUGGUAGUCCACGCCGUA